CCUACGGGAGGCAGCAGUCGGGAAUAUUGCGCAAUGGAGGAAACUCUGACGCAGUGACGCCGCGUAUAGGAAGAAGGUUUUCGGAUUGUAAACUAUUGUCGUGAGGGAAGAAAUUGACAGUACCUCAGGAGGAAGCUCCGGCUAACUAUGUGCCAGCAGCCGCGGUAAUACAUAGGGAGCAAGCGUUAUCCGGAUUUAUUGGGUGUAAAGGGUGCGUAGACGGGAAAUUAAGUUAGUUGUGAAAUCCCUCGGCUUAACUGAGGAACUGCAACUAAAACUGAUUUUCUUGAGUACUGGAGAGGAAAGUGGAAUUCCUAGUGUAGCGGUGAAAUGCGUAGAUAUUAGGAGGAACACCAGUGGCGAAGGCGACUUUCUGGACAGUAACUGACGUUGAGGCACGAAAGUGUGGGGAGCAAACAGGAUUAGAUACCC
This 432-nucleotide ribosomal RNA is filed under the name uncultured bacterium. RNAcentral's name for it is "bacterial SSU rRNA". It matches the Rfam family "Bacterial small subunit ribosomal RNA", at positions 338 to 787 of the family's 1533-position model. The record is from RNAcentral.